This 257-nucleotide ribosomal RNA is filed under the name uncultured bacterium. RNAcentral's name for it is "partial 16S ribosomal RNA". It matches the Rfam family "Bacterial small subunit ribosomal RNA", at positions 99 to 354 of the family's 1533-position model. The record is from RNAcentral.
CGGACGGGUGAGUAACGCGUGGGCAACCUGCCUGCCACAGCCGGAUAAUCGGGAGAAAUUCCGUCUAAUACGGCAUAAUGCAUCGACGGGACAUCCUGUUGGUGCCAAAGGUUGAUUCCGGUGGCGGAUGGGCAUGCGUCGCAUUAGUUAGUUGGCGGUGUAACGGACCACCAAGACGACGAUGCGUAGGGGUUCUGAGAGGAAGGUCCCCCACACUGGUACUGAGACACGGACCAGACUCCUACGGGAGGCAGCAG